Molecule: non-coding RNA, 76 nt
Organism: Paragonimus skrjabini miyazakii
Lineage: Eukaryota; Metazoa; Platyhelminthes; Trematoda; Plagiorchiida; Troglotrematidae
Source: the annotation of a GenBank genome assembly
GGCUUCGCAGCUUAGCUGGCAGAGCGCUUGUCGCGUUUGGGUGUUUCUGUUACUGAUUCGAAUCCAGUCGGAGCCC